GCGGUCAACUCACUGAACCUAGCCACUUUACUCCCAGAACCUGACCAGGGCCUUGCAACCUGACGCGGGCCUACGUGUCAACAUCUACACUGACAAGUAUGCAUGCCUUACAACUCAUGCCCAUAGGGCCCUGUACUAGGAAUAGUGCCUACUCAACUCUGGUGAAAAAGACAUCAAGCAAUCAUCUGAAAUUUUGGCACUACUCGAAGUGGUCUGGGCUUUUGCCAAGUUAGCAUCAUCAGGAACUAUACUAUAUGUGAAUAUUGAAAUCUUAAAUAAUGAGACCCACCAGGUUUUUCAAUCUUUUUAUGAAGAGAUGGGAUAGUACCCUGUCCCAAAUCUGAAGGGUUGUUAAAGAACCCCCUAAUUGAGAAUGGGUGGAUGAGUGGAUUUGGUCCAGAAUUUGAGACUUUUUGUAUGUACUCCCACG
Molecule: non-coding RNA, 430 nt
Organism: Pelobates cultripes (western spadefoot toad)
Lineage: Eukaryota; Metazoa; Chordata; Amphibia; Anura; Pelobatidae
Source: the annotation of a GenBank genome assembly